GCCUGAUGCAGCGACGCCGCGUGGGGGAUGACGGCCUUCGGGUUGUAAACCUCUUUCAGUACCGACGAAGCGAGAGUGACGGUAGGUACAGAAGAAGCACCGGCCAACUACGUGCCAGCAGCCGCGGUAGUACGUAGGGUGCGAGCGUUGUCCGGAAUUACUGGGCGUAAAGGGCUUGUAGGUGGAUUGUCGCGUUGUCCGUGAAAACUCACAGCUUAACUGUGGGCGUGCGGGCGAUACGGGCAGACUGGAGUACUGCAGGGGAGACUGGAAUUCCUGGUGUAGCGGUGGAAUGCGCAGAUAUCAGGAGGAACACCGGUGGCGAAGGCGGGUCUCUGGGCANUAACUGACGCUGAGGAGCGAAAGCGUGGGGAGCGAACAGGAUUAGAUACCCUGGUAGUCCACGCCGUAAACGGUGGGUACUAGGUGUGGGUUUCCUUCCUUGGGAUCCGUGCCGUANCUAACGCAUUAAGUGCCCCGCCUGGGAAGUACGGCCGCAAGG
RNAcentral lists this ribosomal RNA (502 nucleotides) under uncultured Actinomycetes bacterium. RNAcentral's name for it is "bacterial SSU rRNA". It matches the Rfam family "Bacterial small subunit ribosomal RNA", at positions 381 to 893 of the family's 1533-position model. Lineage: Bacteria; Bacillati; Actinomycetota; Actinomycetes. The record is from RNAcentral.